Molecule: ribosomal RNA, 497 nt
Filed under: uncultured bacterium
Lineage: Bacteria
Description: partial 16S ribosomal RNA
Rfam family: Bacterial small subunit ribosomal RNA
Source: RNAcentral
GAUGAACGCUGGCGGCGUGCCUAAUACAUGCAAGUCGAGCGAACAGAUGAGGAGCUUGCUCCUCUGCCGUUAGCGGCGGACGGGUGAGUAACACGUGGAUAACCUACCUAUAAGACUGGGAUCACUUCGGGAAACCGGAGCUAAUACCGGAUAAUAUAUUGAACCGCAUGGUUCAAUAGUGAACGACGGUUUUGCUGUCACUUAUAGAUGGAUCCGCGCCGCAUUAGCUAGUUGGUAAGGUAACGGCUUACCAAGGCAACGAUGCGUAGCCGACCUGAGAGGGUGAUCGGCCACACUGGAACUGAGACACGGUCCAGACUCCUACGGGAGGCAGCAGUAGGGAAUCUUCCGCAAUGGGCGAAAGCUUGACGGAGCAACGCCGCGUGAGUGAUGAAGGUCUUCGGAUCGUAAAACUCUGUUAUUAGGGAAGAACAAAUGUGUAAGUAACUAUGCACGUCUUGACGGUACCUAAUCAGAAAGCCACGGCUAACUACGUG